RNAcentral lists this ribosomal RNA (169 nucleotides) under Priestia megaterium. RNAcentral describes it as "Bacillus megaterium partial 23S ribosomal RNA". It matches the Rfam family "Bacterial large subunit ribosomal RNA", at positions 1 to 167 of the family's 2925-position model. The record is from RNAcentral. Lineage: Bacteria; Bacillati; Bacillota; Bacilli; Caryophanales; Bacillaceae.
AUGGUUAAGUUAGAAAGGGCGCACGGUGAAUGCCUUGGCACUAGGAGCCGAUGAAGGACGGGACUAACACCGAUAUGCUUCGGGGAGCUGUAAGUGAGCUUUGAUCCGGAGAUUUCCGAAUGGGGAAACCCACUGUUCGUAAUGGAACAGUAUCUUUAUCUGAAUACAU